GAUGAAUGCCUGAACCCCCCUGAACCCUGUGACACUGAUGCUACUUGCUCCAAUAAUGACGGUAGUUACACAUGCAAAUGYAAUGCUGGUUACCAUGGAAAUGGCAGGAGUUGUAAAAAAAGCAGCAAGCAUGGGACGCGUUUCAAAAAAAGCGCUUUCAGUACAAUCAAGUCGUCACCAUGGUUAAUAAUUGUAGCCUUUUUGCCAGUUAUGCUUCAUUAUUUUHAAAUAUUUUCUUUUGAAACAUAGAGUACAAACAAAUAAUUAAAUGUGCGCAACACUUUCCACUAUUUACUACAAAAUAGAAUUAGCAUAAUUUAGCAGUAUUUAGUGGUAUUUAUGUUGCACAGUUUUAGUGUUUGUACUCUAACUUUUCUCAUCAAAAAAGAAUAUGGAUUGUCUGAUUAUUUAUUAUUUUUCAUAUACCGUUUUUUUUAAUUUUUUAUUUUUUUAAAAAAGUAGAGCAUGCACUUCUACGAAGGGGGAUUCAAUUGAAGACUAUAGUUUUUUUUAAACUUUGAGCUGGAAUAAAAUUGAGCUAAUUUAAUUAGAGUUACAAAGUAUCCAGUAUUCUGAUUGGUACUGAACGCUUUUUUUAAUGCAUGGUAUUCAUGUGAUAACAUAGUCGCUGAAAGUGAUGUGAAAGUAGCCGAGUUUUAAACAAUGUUGUGGAAAAGUCAGCUGUAUUUUUGUCUUUUUUGUGUGUUUCCUCUGUAUUUGAUGUAAAAACUUUUUAUAAAUGUCAGGCAUGAAUACAUUAAGGUUGACUUAGACGGCAAAAUGUCUGGUUUACCGUCUGACUUAGACGGCAAAGCGUCUAGUUUACUGUCUGACUUAGACGGCAAAGUGUCUGGUUUGCUGUCUGUGACUUAAAGCGACAAUAAUGUCUUGUUAUGUUAUUGACUUACACGGCAAUAAAGUCUGCUUAACUGAUAGUCUAAGAUAGCUAAAAUGUCUGGUAUAUUGAUAGCUGUAAGAUAGCAGUAAUGUCUGGUAAACUGCGAUUGAAAAAUAGCAAUAAUGUCGCUGAUUUCCUGAUUGACUAAUUUAUUUAUGCUUCCGAAUAUUAGAUAGUGAUGAGAAAAGCACACAAAGUACUAUUGUAAAUAUUAUAUAUAUAUAUGUAGAAAUAGUGUCACUUUAUGGUAACGUAUUGAAGUUCUUUCAGAUGUAAGUGAUAAUUAAAGGCCCACGUGCCCAAUGUGGCAAAGUAUA
Long non-coding RNA from Exaiptasia diaphana, 1215 nucleotides. RefSeq lists it as uncharacterized. NCBI's taxonomy places the organism in Eukaryota, Metazoa, Cnidaria, Anthozoa, Actiniaria, Aiptasiidae. The record is from RefSeq and is a predicted model, not a curated record. The transcript is spliced from 2 exons.